Molecule: ribosomal RNA, 1612 nt
Filed under: Escherichia coli
Lineage: Bacteria; Pseudomonadati; Pseudomonadota; Gammaproteobacteria; Enterobacterales; Enterobacteriaceae
Description: partial 23S ribosomal RNA
Rfam family: Bacterial large subunit ribosomal RNA
Source: RNAcentral
CCAAGGGUUCCUGUCCAACGUUAAUCGGGGCAGGGUGAGUCGACCCCUAAGGCGAGGCCGAAAGGCGUAGUCGAUGGGAAACAGGUUAAUAUUCCUGUACUUGGUGUUACUGCGAAGGGGGGACGGAGAAGGCUAUGUUGGCCGGGCGACGGUUGUCCCGGUUUAAGCGUGUAGGCUGGUUUUCCAGGCAAAUCCGGAAAAUCAAGGCUGAGGCGUGAUGACGAGGCACUACGGUGCUGAAGCAACAAAUGCCCUGCUUCCAGGAAAAGCCUCUAAGCAUCAGGUAACAUCAAAUCGUACCCCAAACCGACACAGGUGGUCAGGUAGAGAAUACCAAGGCGCUUGAGAGAACUCGGGUGAAGGAACUAGGCAAAAUGGUGCCGUAACUUCGGGAGAAGGCACGCUGAUAUGUAGGUGAAGUCCCUUGCGGAUGGAGCUGAAAUCAGUCGAAGAUACCAGCUGGCUGCAACUGUUUAUUAAAAACACAGCACUGUGCAAACACGAAAGUGGACGUAUACGGUGUGACGCCUGCCCGGUGCCGGAAGGUUAAUUGAUGGGGUCAGCGCAAGCGAAGCUCUUGAUCGAAGCCCCGGUAAACGGCGGCCGUAACUAUAACGGUCCUAAGGUAGCGAAAUUCCUUGUCGGGUAAGUUCCGACCUGCACGAAUGGCGUAAUGAUGGCCAGGCUGUCUCCACCCGAGACUCAGUGAAAUUGAACUCGCUGUGAAGAUGCAGUGUACCCGCGGCAAGACGGAAAGACCCCGUGAACCUUUACUAUAGCUUGACACUGAACAUUGAGCCUUGAUGUGUAGGAUAGGUGGGAGGCUUUGAAGUGUGGACGCCAGUCUGCAUGGAGCCGGCCUUGAAAUACCACCCUUUAAUGUUUGAUGUUCUAACGUGGACCCGUGAUCCGGGUUGCGGACAGUGUCUGGUGGGUAGUUUGACUGGGGCGGUCUCCUCCUAAAGAGUAACGGAGGAGCACGAAGGUUGGCUAAUCCUGGUCGGACAUCAGGAGGUUAGUGCAAUGGCAUAAGCCAGCUUGACUGCGAGCGUGACGGCGCGAGCAGGUGCGAAAGCAGGUCAUAGUGAUCCGGUGGUUCUGAAUGGAAGGGCCAUCGCUCAACGGAUAAAAGGUACUCCGGGGAUAACAGGCUGAUACCGCCCAAGAGUUCAUAUCGACGGCGGUGUUUGGCACCUCGAUGUCGGCUCAUCACAUCCUGGGGCUGAAGUAGGUCCCAAGGGUAUGGCUGUUCGCCAUUUAAAGUGGUACGCGAGCUGGGUUUAGAACGUCGUGAGACAGUUCGGUCCCUAUCUGCCGUGGGCGCUGGAGAACUGAGGGGGGCUGCUCCUAGUACGAGAGGACCGGAGUGGACGCAUCACUGGUGUUCGGGUUGUCAUGCCAAUGGCACUGCCCGGUAGCUAAAUGCGGAAGAGAUAAGUGCUGAAAGCAUCUAAGCACGAAACUUGCCCCGAGAUGAGUUCUCCCUGACCCUUUAAGGGUCCUGAAGGAACGUUGAAGACGACGACGUUGAUAGGCCGGGUGUGUAAGCGCAGCGAUGCGUUGAGCUAACCGGUACUAAUGAACCGUGAGGCUUAACCUUACAACGCCGAAG